This 21-nucleotide unclassified non-coding RNA is filed under the name Chlamydomonas reinhardtii. Its description in RNAcentral is "small RNA Cre_3842". The record is from RNAcentral. Lineage: Eukaryota; Viridiplantae; Chlorophyta; Chlorophyceae; Chlamydomonadales; Chlamydomonadaceae.
UUCUACUCUGAGCGAGCGGAG